Long non-coding RNA from Xenia sp. Carnegie-2017, 948 nucleotides. RefSeq lists it as uncharacterized. The transcript has 4 exons. NCBI's taxonomy places the organism in Eukaryota, Metazoa, Cnidaria, Anthozoa, Malacalcyonacea, Xeniidae. The record is from RefSeq and is a predicted model, not a curated record.
ACAUGGGAAUUUCCGCUGGAGACUGCCUUGAGUAAACGUCUGAUGUUUUGCGUCUUUCUCGUCAUCUCAUUUAUAAAAUAUAUUGCUUGAGGAUCAAACCGUCAAAAACUCAUAUUUCGUUAAGAAUGGAAGCACAAUCUUCAAUCAAACCUAUUUUGACCGUGUGCGAUCAUUGUGGCCUUUGGUUGAUAAAUCCAAAAUGUGGACAUAAAAUUCAUUGGUCAGAUGUAGAGGACAUGAUCGUUGAUGUUAAUCAAGUUUUUCGUUGUCCUAUUUGCAACUGUACCGAUCCUGAAGUUGACGAGUUCAUCGAAGAUUUCAUAGGAUCGGUUAUGGCAAGCUUUUAAGCACUCAUUUUGUUGUCAGUACUUAUUUCGAAAGUUUCAAUAUCUUGUUCUAUUGCUCUGUCGCUAAUAUACUCCUCCAACCUUGCUUGGAUAUUUGAGCAGUUUCGUUCCAGUUUGUUUGCUAGUCACGCUAAUGAUAUUGAAAAUGUAUUGCACGAGUUUCGCCUCAUUUAAACAUAACAAUACCCUUUUAUAUUGGCAUGGUGGAAAAUCCAGAGUUCGGAGUCGGAGUAGUCUCUCCUCAUGCAAAGAUAGAAACUUCUAACACGAACUCCGCAUUUUCCACUUUAUGCCUCUGUAGAGUAGAAAAUGCGGAGUCUGUGUUAGACUGUGUUAGAAGUAUCCAUCUUUGCAUUUGGGGAGACUCCGACUCCGCAUUUUCCACAAUGCCUCUUAUAUUUUGGCAAAACCAAACAUCGAUGUCGUCGUAAAGAGGGAUGGUCAACGUGACAGCCAAAACAGUCUUUAGCAACAAGUAGACUUAUCAUAAAAUGUAUGUUUAGCAGCAUGUAGCACUUUAAUAAAUUAUCUUGUUAUGCAUGGUUUAACACUCUUGUAAAGUAAAGAAAUCUUUGACAAUGUUAUGACUCAGAAAACCAAA